AGAGCCAUGAAAUGAUGCCACUAAUGACUGUUAAGAUUUUGAUGUAUCAACUCUGCAAAGGAAUUUCAUUCUGUCAUGGUCAUGGAGUGUUGCACAGGGAUCUUAAGCCUCACAAUCUUUUAAUGGACCGCAAGACUAU
Zingiber officinale is the source of this 139-nucleotide long non-coding RNA. RefSeq lists it as uncharacterized. NCBI's taxonomy places the organism in Eukaryota, Viridiplantae, Streptophyta, Magnoliopsida, Zingiberales, Zingiberaceae. The record is from RefSeq and is a predicted model, not a curated record. The transcript has 3 exons.